AGCAUGUUAGCUCAGGGGAAGAGCGCCGGGCUCAUAACCCGGAGGUGCGUCUCCUCCAUCCAUGGUGGUCCUCUGGACUUGUUCACUAACAAUCACUAGGUCCCUGGAUCGAAACCAGGACAUGCUA
This is a non-coding RNA of Aspergillus ellipticus CBS 707.79, 127 nucleotides long. The record is from the annotation of a GenBank genome assembly. Lineage: Eukaryota; Fungi; Ascomycota; Eurotiomycetes; Eurotiales; Aspergillaceae.